AUUUUCUUGGAUACUGGAGAAUGGAAGCCAACAGCUUUCAGAGUCUGAGUGCCUUGAAAAUUUUCUCCUGUACAUCUGUUGAGUUGUUUUCAGUGCCUGUUCAUUAAAGCAAGCAACUUGUCCAUAGUUCUCAACUUUUACUCUACAUUUUAGAGCAGCAAUAACUAUGCUAACUAUUAAGUGAUGUUAUCUUCUUUUUAAGGGCACUUUACUCUGUCUUCCUAGGUUCACUUGCUAAAUUUUCUUAAGUCUUUCCUAGCUCACAAUAUCUGCUUCUUUUCUACCUACUUAUCCAUCACCUCCGUUAACAAGAUGUCACUACCAUGAUAGUUUCCAUUUUGAUGCAUAACAUUCUUUAUCUGCAUGAUCCCUCUCAGGAAUGGGAACAAAAAGGGAAAUGAAGUGCAAGGGGUGUUGUCUUACCCCAGCUUCAGUCCUGCACUGUGCUGACCUGGCUCCUGGCUGAAUGAGAAGUCAUGCAGAGAGAUUCUGACCCAGAAAAACACAAUUCCUGCAUAGAAUUUGUGGUAUGCAGAAUCCCUCCUUGGAAACCUUGACUAUGAAAUUGCUUUUCAGAGAGAAAAAUGCUGCCAUGCUUACUGCUACGUCCUGCCACUGCUGCCCUUGGUGCAUCAUUCUUCCACACCUUUCAUCUGGCCUGAGUGUGUAUGUAGGGCUGCUUUUGCCCAAGCAAAGAUCCUUGAGAGUAAACUGA
Molecule: long non-coding RNA, 715 nt
Filed under: Coturnix japonica (Japanese quail)
Lineage: Eukaryota; Metazoa; Chordata; Aves; Galliformes; Phasianidae
Description: lncRNA (ENSCJPG00005012639.1)
Source: RNAcentral